Molecule: long non-coding RNA, 183 nt
Organism: Glycine soja
Lineage: Eukaryota; Viridiplantae; Streptophyta; Magnoliopsida; Fabales; Fabaceae
Exons: 3
Source: RefSeq, a predicted model, not a curated record
AGUGUUUGGGCCACAAGAGCAAAAUCUGCGUUCUCAAGGUGGAAGCGGCAAUAUGAUUUUCAAGAGUGGACCACUUUUCAUAUCUUCCAAAGAAUAAAUCACUCUCUUUUGCAUCUUUGCAAACCUCUCCUCCAUUAUGAAAACCUAUAGAAAUCAUAUAGAAUUUAUAAAAUACACUAACUC